This is a long non-coding RNA of Polypterus senegalus (gray bichir), 776 nucleotides long. RefSeq lists it as uncharacterized. The transcript is spliced from 3 exons. The record is from RefSeq and is a predicted model, not a curated record. NCBI's taxonomy places the organism in Eukaryota, Metazoa, Chordata, Cladistia, Polypteriformes, Polypteridae.
CUCAGACAAGCAUUUUAAAAUCCUGUUUUCUUUGUAAUAAUGUAGCUGACAGUGAUCUUGUUAGAAACACAGCUGAGUUAGUCUGAUUUAUAAAAUGGGUGAAUAAUAAUAACGAAACCAGAAAAGUUAUCUUUAAAUGACCUGAUCUAUGCAUGAUGUUAUAUCUUGUCACUUAGGAAAGCAAACACUCACCUUUGUGAUAGUCUUAAGAACCUGAAGAAAGCAUAAGGCUUGUGUCCAAAACAGGUUCAUGCUGCACAACAUCCGCGAGAUCACACCUUAUCUGACAGAAUAUGCAGCACAACUUCUGGUUCAGGCUUUGGUCUCAUCACAUCUGGCCGUCUGACAGGAGAACCCACAUGUGCUAUCAAGCCGCUGCAGAUCACCUGAAGAGAAACCAGAAUAAAAUACUACCUGACGUUCCUGUACCACUUCCCUAGCCACACUUCCCAUUGACAUCUUUGAUCCUGGACCCACCUUUUCCUCCCCUGCCUCUAUAAGAACCCAGCACCUUCCCUCCUUAGUUUGUCCCUAUUUGGACACAGAACCAGAGAGUGCUCUGGUGCCAUUAUUUCCUGAACUGUGUUGUACAAUAUAUGGGGUGGAUUCCAAGAAAUCUUUUUCUGUUCUACCUUUGUGUUUUGACACAAGCUUUUUUGUCUCAGCGGAAAAAUCUUAUAAGCAGGUAGCAAAAGACUAUGCCUUCAUUUUGUUUCUUUUUGAUUUCAUUGUCAUCUAGCAGAAAUUAAAAGGAUACCAAAUACUGUAGAUCCCAU